AUACAAUGAGGAAACCUAUGAAGUAACUUCUUGAAUUGCUCCCAAGCCUCAUAUAAAGACUCGUCAUCCAAUUGUUGGAAAGUUGUGAUCCCGUUCCUUAACUU
Molecule: small nucleolar RNA, 104 nt
Filed under: Gossypium barbadense (sea-island cotton)
Lineage: Eukaryota; Viridiplantae; Streptophyta; Magnoliopsida; Malvales; Malvaceae
Also listed under: 2 other names
Description: Plant small nucleolar RNA R71
Rfam family: Plant small nucleolar RNA R71
About the family: R71 is a member of the C/D box family of snoRNAs containing the C (UGAUGA) and D (CUGA) box motifs.
Source: Rfam by way of RNAcentral